GUUGUAAAAUCCUUUUCCGGGCGAUGAGGAAGGACACUAGCCUGGGAAUAAGCGUCGGCUAACUACGUGCCAGCAGCCGCGGUAAGACGUAGGACGCGAGCGUUAUCCGGAUUUACUGGGCGUAAAGCGCCUGCAGGCGGUCAGGUAAGUCGGUUGUGAAAGCCCCGUGCUCAACGCGGGGAGGCCAAGCGAUACUGCGUGACUUGAGGGCGGAAGAGGGGAGUGGAAUUCCCGGUGUAGCGGUAAAAUGCGCAGAUAUCGGGAGGAACACCAGUGGCGAAGGCGGCUCCCUGGACCGCACCUGACGCUCAGAGGCGAAAGCUAGGGGAGCGAACAGGAUUAGAGACCCUGGUAGUCCUAGCCCUAAACGCUGGAUGCUAGGUGUAGGGCUGAUGAGGCUCUGUGCCGGAGCGAACGCGAUAAGCAUCCCGCCUGGGAACUACGGCCGCAAGGCUAAAACUCAAACGAAUUGACGGGGACCCGCACAAGCAGCGGAGCGUGUGGUUUAAUUCGAUGCUACACGAAGAACCUUACCUGGGUUUGACAUGUUGGUGGUACCGAACCGAAAGGGGAGGGACCCUUCGGGGAGCCAACACAGGUGCUGCAUGGCUGUCGUCAGCUCGUGCCGUGAGGUGUCGGGUUAAGUCCCGUAACGAGCGCAACCCUUGCUCUUAGUUAUACGUGUCUAAGGGGACUGCCGGCGACAAGCCGGAGGAAGGUGGGGAUGACGUCAAGUCAGCAUGGCCUUGAUAUCCAGGGCUACACACACGCUACAAUGGCCGGUACAAAGGGCAGCCAAGCCGCGAGGUGGAGCGAAUCCCAGCAAAGCCGGUCCCAGUUCGGAUUGCAGG
RNAcentral lists this ribosomal RNA (851 nucleotides) under uncultured organism. Its description in RNAcentral is "bacterial SSU rRNA". It matches the Rfam family "Bacterial small subunit ribosomal RNA", at positions 422 to 1304 of the family's 1533-position model. The record is from RNAcentral.